UAUUUGUUCCAUUUCUACGAUUUUUCCAGCGAUCCGGAGUCUGGCAGAGACUACGUCACUCGCACGGUCUGCUCGCCACGCCUGGCCGUGAGCGGUCGAGUGCAUCGUUCGUUGCAAAGUCAAACAAACGAGGUUGCAGAAGCCAUGCGUUUAAUCUUGAAUCGCUUACUGGAUUUUAUUGAUAAUACAUCAUGUUUUUCCUAUGUUUCUUGAGUGUUUCUUAUUUAUACUUGGUUUUGACUUGGUUUAUUUUUAAACGCCAUUAAAAAGACUGCAGCUAUGUGAAACUCACGAACUCUCAAAGAAAACCUACCGACACUUCAGUCCAUCUCAUUUCGUUAGUAAAGCGCGAGUGCCACCUACCGAAUCAAUCUAAAUUGCAACCCUCAUCAAUUUACACACAAGUAGAUGAUCGGUGGUUGUUACAGCAAUUGAUUUUUCAUUGUCAUAAAACCGGUUCAAAACUGACAAAAUAGCAAAAUGGCCUGACGAAUCCAUUUUUUUACCUAACUGAAACUUCUUUUGCAUCGCCAUUCAGCAGUUACUCAAGCAACUGGAAAUGAUUUUGAAAUUGCUUAAGUAACUGCUUUUUGACAUACCUCAAUCGACGCUUCUUGUGCAUCAUUUAUCACUUUCUUUUGUUUCUCUAGGUGUGGAAACGGAACGAAUUUUCGGCUUUAUCGGCGGGCUGAUAUUUGGUCACCUUAUUCAUUGCAUUUUAUUCUGCCCGGCUCAACCUCCACCAGAUAGAACAGUACCCAGGAUUGAAUGUCCCAACGAUAUACAUGUAACUGCGCCGCCCCUGGAAACAAGAGCUACUGUAUCCUGGACCGAGCCUGAAGCACAUGAUGACAGAGAUCCUGAUGUUUUAACCACACGGGAUCCUGAAUGGCUGAAUCCAGGCGUAAAGCUUCGGGAAAAUAGUUACAAAGUUACAUACUCUGCAACCGAUGCUUCCGGCAACUCCAACUCCUGCUCAUUUUAUGUCACUGUACAUGUCAUAACGUGCCCUCAUCCUACUCAGCAACACCAUAUAAGACACCAGGUGCAACA
Long non-coding RNA from Branchiostoma floridae (Florida lancelet), 1053 nucleotides. RefSeq lists it as uncharacterized. NCBI's taxonomy places the organism in Eukaryota, Metazoa, Chordata, Leptocardii, Amphioxiformes, Branchiostomatidae. The transcript has 4 exons. The record is from RefSeq and is a predicted model, not a curated record.